Long non-coding RNA from Nannospalax galili (Upper Galilee mountains blind mole rat), 240 nucleotides. RefSeq lists it as uncharacterized. The transcript has 2 exons. Lineage: Eukaryota; Metazoa; Chordata; Mammalia; Rodentia; Spalacidae. The record is from RefSeq and is a predicted model, not a curated record.
GGGGGCGAGGAGAGGACUUCUUGUCUUGGAGGGGACCAAGGGGCCGGGGCAUACGGGGCAAAGGUCGAGGUCGAGGGUAUGCUAUCUCCUGCAUUUUAAAUAGAAACCUGGAAUGUCAGAAGGAGCAGCAAUUAAAUGAGAUCAUAACAAACUCAUCCACCAUUAUCCAGAAUCCAGUAGAGAUACACAAGAAGGAUUAUAGUCUAUUACCACUGUUGGCAGCUGCCCCUCAAGUUGGAG